Acanthosepion pharaonis is the source of this 104-nucleotide non-coding RNA. Lineage: Eukaryota; Metazoa; Mollusca; Cephalopoda; Sepiida; Sepiidae. The record is from the annotation of a GenBank genome assembly.
UUACGCCCAUAUCAUGUUCAAACACCGCUUCCCGUGGGAUCAUCGAAGUUAAGCAAAAUCGAGCUCGGUCAGUACCUGGAUAGGUUACCGCUUAGGAAUACCCG